CCUACGGGAGGCUGCAGUGGGGAAUAUUGCACAAUGGGGGAAACCCUGAUGCAGCGACGCCGCGUGAGUGAAGAAGUAAUUCGUUACGUAAAGCCCUAUCAGCAGGGAAGAAACACUGACCUUACGGUCAGCAGACGGUACCUGAGUAAGAAGCCCCGGCUAACUACGUGCCAGCAGCAGCGGUAAUACGCAGGGGGCAAGCGUUAUCCGGAAGUACUGGGUGUAAAGGGAGCGUAGACGGUGCGCCAAGUCAGAAGUGAAAUGCCGCGGCUUAACCGUAGAACUGCUUUGGAAACUGGCGAACUAGAGUGCGGGAGGGGUAAGUGGAAUUCCUGGUGUAGGGGUGAAAUGCGUAGAUAUCAGGAGGAACACUGAUUGCGAAGGCGGCUUGCUAGAACGUAACUGACGCUGAGGCGCGAAAGCGUGGGGAGCAAACAGGAUUAGAUACCCGUGUAGUC
RNAcentral lists this ribosomal RNA (458 nucleotides) under uncultured bacterium. RNAcentral describes it as "partial 16S ribosomal RNA". It matches the Rfam family "Bacterial small subunit ribosomal RNA", at positions 338 to 795 of the family's 1533-position model. The record is from RNAcentral.